This 497-nucleotide ribosomal RNA is filed under the name uncultured bacterium. Its description in RNAcentral is "partial 16S ribosomal RNA". It matches the Rfam family "Bacterial small subunit ribosomal RNA", at positions 28 to 507 of the family's 1533-position model. The record is from RNAcentral.
GAUGAACGCUGGCGGCGUGCCUAAUACAUGCAAGUCGAGCGAACGGACGAGAAGCUUGCUUCUCUGAUGUUAGCGGCGGACGGGUGAGUAACACGUGGAUAACCUACCUAUAAGACUGGGAUAACUUCGGGAAACCGGAGCUAAUACCGGAUGAUAUUUUGAACCGCAUGGUUCAAAAGUGAAAGACGGUCUUGCUGUCACUUAUAGCUGGAUCCGCGCUGCAUUAGCUAGUUGGUAAGGUAACGGCUUACCAAGGCAACGAUGCAUAGCCGACCUGAGAGGGUGAUCGGCCUCACUGGAACUGAGACACGGUCCAGACUCCUACGGGAGGCAGCAGUAGGGAAUCUUCCGCAAUGGGCGAAAGCCUGACGGAGCAACGCCGCGUGAGUGAUGAAGGUCUUCGGAUCGUAAAACUCUGUUAUUAGGGAAGAACAUAUGUGUAAGUAACUGUGCACAUCUUGACGGUACCUAAUCAGAAAGCCACGGCUAACUACGUG